RNAcentral lists this ribosomal RNA (497 nucleotides) under uncultured bacterium. RNAcentral describes it as "partial 16S ribosomal RNA". It matches the Rfam family "Bacterial small subunit ribosomal RNA", at positions 28 to 507 of the family's 1533-position model. The record is from RNAcentral.
GAUGAACGCUGGCGGCGUGCCUAAUACAUGCAAGUCGAGCGAACAGACGAGGAGCUUGCUCCUCUGACGUUAGCGGCGGACGGGUGAGUAACACGUGGAUAACCUACCUAUAAGACUGGGAUAACUUCGGGAAACCGGAGCUAAUACCGGAUAAUAUAUUGAACCGCAUGGUUCAAUAGUGAAAGACGGUUUUGCUGUCACUUAUAGAUGGAUCCGCGCCGCAUUAGCUAGUUGGUAAGGUAACGGCUUACCAAGGCAACGAUGCGUAGCCGACCUGAGAGGGUGAUCGGCGACACUGGAACUGAGACACGGUCCAGACUCCUACGGGAGGCAGCAGUAGGGAAUCUUCCGCAAUGGGCGAAAGCCUGACGGAGCAACGCCGCGUGAGUGAUGAAGGUCUUCGGAUCGUAAAACUCUGUUAUUAGGGAAGAACAAAUGUGUAAGUAACUAUGCACGUCUUGACGGUACCUAAUCAGAAAGCAACGGCUAACUACGUG